Long non-coding RNA from Mastomys coucha (southern multimammate mouse), 2286 nucleotides. RefSeq lists it as uncharacterized. The transcript has 3 exons. The record is from RefSeq and is a predicted model, not a curated record. Lineage: Eukaryota; Metazoa; Chordata; Mammalia; Rodentia; Muridae.
CUCUGCCUCCCAUAAUGCCUUAGGUGUUCUCAGCCAACUGUUUUGCCUCUGCCUCCCAUAAUGCCUUAGGUGUUCUGGUCUUACAGAUACACACUACAACACACAGCUUUUAUGUGGGUCUCAGGGAUCGAACUCUGGCUGUCAGACUUUCACUGCCAGCAAUCAGAAUUCUGAAUUGAAAGUCUCAGUUCCUGUCUUGUGAUGGAGAAGAAUAAAAAGUGUAUUCCAUUUACUAGAUCUGUCUCAAGCAAAGGAAACAGAGGCCAGAGUUCAGACCUCUACAGAUGAUCUCUCUGAGCUGAGCGGCAUCUGCUGUGAAGCCAGUUUCCCCUCUUUAUGCUGAGACUGAAAUCUUAGGAUACCUGGAAGUAUAGAACAAAAGUACAGACAAGAGGAGUGGUGUGUCUUUGUUAGAGAAAAAAGAAGACAGAAGGCAAGGCAGCAUGAUCAAGCCAAUGCUGACCCAGACCCAGGCCUCUCCAUAUCCUUAAAAGGAUCUUUGUGGUCUAUUAGUCCUAUCUACACUGCUUAUGAAGACCUCAGCCCUCACUCACUGUGUGUCACCAAGAUCUGCUGAAGCAAAUUCUGCAGUGUACAUCAAAUGUCACCAGAAGAUGACUCUUAUCUUUCACACCUUGAAACCUGGGAUUCCUUUCAUCUGAACUAGAAGUAGACAAAGGUGGAAAUCCAUGUUCCCAGCCUGGUAAAAUCUGUGUAUGGAAGGCACUGUGAAUGACGGAUCACAGUACUCUGCAAAGACAGGGCACUAGUGCCCUCCUUAAGCAGUAUGGAUGUUCUCAUAAGCUCAGGAAGAAGAAAAACCAGCAAAAAUGACACAAAGAAGCCACAGAGAAAACGGUAUUGAAGCAGCUGGGAAGUUGUCUUUUAAUAAUCAGGAAUCCAUGGAGAAUACCCAGACAGCUUUGCCCACAGACAAACAGCUGUGCGAAGAAGCUUCAGCGGCUCAGGUGUGACCAGUCGUUUGCAUCCAUUUUUUCUUGUGUGUUGGAAUUCUGUAAUGAAUCAUCUCUCUGCCACGGCAUGAAAGAACUCACACGCUUCCUAUUACUCUUUCUUCUCUCUCUCUGCACUUAUUCUGUGUUUUUCAUCAAAGAUGUGACAGUGAAGGUCUUUAAUGGACAUCGAUAUCAGCCUACAAUCUGCAUGUGAGUAGUAUGUGUCAGGGGGUUAUGCAAGUGUGCAUGUAUGUGUAUGUUUGUGCAAGUGUGCAUGCAUGUGUGUGUGUUUGUGCAAGUGGAGGCAAAAGGUUGACCUUGAAUGCUGUUCUUUAUGAACCACCUUCCUCCUCCUCCUCACCUCCUCCUUCUUCCUCCACACUCCUCCUCCUCCCCACUCCUCCUAUGCCUCUUUCAGAUUUAUUUAUGUUUAUAUCUCUGUGUGUAUGUUCACAGGCACAUGGCUGCCCAUGGAAAUCAGAAUAGGGCUUCAGAUCCCCAGAGCUAGAGUUAUAGGUAGUGGUAAGCUCUGUGAUAUGGGAGCUGGCAAGCAAAUUGCAGUCAUUUGGAAGAUCAACUUCUCUUAACCACCAAGCCAUCUCUUCAGGACAGUCUUUGCUUUGUUUUUUCAGAUAAGGUCUCAUAUAAACCUGGAGUGAGCUGGUCAUAGAGUCUCAGUCUUUGUCUCCUUAGCACUUAGAAUACAAAUGUGUGCCACCACACUGGCACUGGACCUUUUAAGAGAAAAUGAAGGAGGCUGGAGCAUGAGGAAACAUCAGGGAAGGUGGGAUGUUCGGAAGAACUUGGCAAGUGAAGCCAUCGUUUCCUUACCAUGACUGAGCCAGUGUGCCAUGCUUCCUUUACUUAGCUACCAAUCCUUAAGAAUGGUGACAAAGAAGGCACUCAGUCAGUGAUGUUUGCACACAGUAGGUCUUGGAUGGGUGGGAGUCAGAGACAUGUCCAUGCCUGUCUGAAUGGCCCAUUUAGCAGAAAGCAUUCUGAGGUCAUUGGAAAGAACACUGGGUUUACAUGAGAACUGGUGAAUUCAAAUAAUGAAACAACAACAACAACAACAAUAGUGUUGAUUAUAUGAACUGUUUGCGAGGACCACACAAUGCCAGGAACAUUUUAUGGCAGAGAAAGUGUGACUGUAAAGGUGCUCACUAUAGUUAUCAGGACUAAGUGUCCAAGAUCUGACACUUAGAUCUGCUCCAAGCCCUGAACAAACCCAGUUCCUGAAACCAUCUUUCUUAGUCAACUUAUAAAGAUCCAUCAUCAGUCAAAUAGCAUGAAUGUAAAUGUAUGUAAAUAAAAUUAUUUUUAACAUAAA